UACAGAGGGUGCGAGCGUUAAUCGGAAUUACUGGGCGUAAAGGGCGCGUAGGUGGUUGUGUAAGUGAGAUGUGAAAUCCCCGGGCUUAACCUGGGAACUGCAUCUUAUACUGCAUAGCUUGAGUACAUGAGAGGGUAGUGGAAUUUCCGGUGUAGCGGUGAAAUGCGUAGAUAUCGGAAGGAACACCAGUGGCGAAGGCGGCUACCUGGCAUGAUACUGACACUGAGGCGCGAGAGCGUGGGGAGCAAACAGG
RNAcentral lists this ribosomal RNA (253 nucleotides) under uncultured bacterium. RNAcentral's name for it is "partial 16S ribosomal RNA". It matches the Rfam family "Bacterial small subunit ribosomal RNA", at positions 524 to 776 of the family's 1533-position model. The record is from RNAcentral.